CGGGUGAGUAAUGCAUAGGUAACGUGCCCCUUAGUCUGGGAUAGCCACUGGAAACGGUGAUUAACACUGGAUACGCCUUCUCUCUUAAUGAGAGUUGGGAAAGUUUACGCUAAGGGAUCGGCCUAUGUUGUAUCAGGUAGUUGGUGAGGUAAUGGCUCACCAAGCCUAUGACACAUAGCGGGUCUGAGAGGAUGAUCCGCCACACUGGUACUGAGACACGGACCAG
RNAcentral lists this ribosomal RNA (226 nucleotides) under uncultured bacterium. RNAcentral's name for it is "partial 16S ribosomal RNA". It matches the Rfam family "Bacterial small subunit ribosomal RNA", at positions 103 to 334 of the family's 1533-position model. The record is from RNAcentral.